Molecule: ribosomal RNA, 172 nt
Filed under: uncultured bacterium
Lineage: Bacteria
Description: partial 16S ribosomal RNA
Rfam family: Bacterial small subunit ribosomal RNA
Source: RNAcentral
ACUCCUACGGGAGGCAGCAGUGGGGAAUAUUGGACAAUGGGCGAAAGCCUGAUCCAGCAAUGCCGCGUGAGUGAUGAAGGCCCUAGGGUUGUAAAGCUCUUUUACCCGGGAAGAUAAUGACUGUACCGGGAGAAUAAGCCCCGGCUAACUCCGUGCCAGCAGCCGCGGUAAU